UUGCUUCAGCAGCAAGUAUGCUAAAGUUGGAUGAGGGUGUCCCCUGUGCAAGGAUGACAUACAAAUUCAUGAAACGUUCCAUAUUUUU
Vulpes vulpes (red fox) is the source of this 88-nucleotide small nuclear RNA. The record is from Ensembl. NCBI's taxonomy places the organism in Eukaryota, Metazoa, Chordata, Mammalia, Carnivora, Canidae.